Molecule: non-coding RNA, 624 nt
Organism: Pelobates cultripes (western spadefoot toad)
Lineage: Eukaryota; Metazoa; Chordata; Amphibia; Anura; Pelobatidae
Source: the annotation of a GenBank genome assembly
GUUUGAAUGUGCACGCUCCACUCGGGAGCUGACGGCGGGGGAAGAGAGGUCACCAGUGCUGAGGGAGCCCGGCGCUGGAUUAAGGUAAGUGGCUGAAGGGGUUUUUACCCCUUUGGCGCCGAGGGAGGGGGACCCCGAGGGAGGAGGGCACUCCAAGAGCCCAUAGUGCCAGGAAAACAGGUUUGUUUUCCUGGCACUAUUGGAUCCCUUUAAGGAUCAGUGGGAGUUUAGAGACUGUCGUGGGCCUAUAGCAGGGUGGGAGUUUGGAGAAGGUUGUUGAUCAGUGGGAGGGUGGGAGUUUUAUUACACUAAGAUCAGUGGCAGGGUGGGAGUUUAGAGAAGGUACAGGGUGAGUAGUGGGGUGAAAGUUUGGAGAAGUUUGAAAGUGAUUGGGAGGGUGGGAGCUUGGAGAUCGUUGAAGGUCAGUGGGAGUUGUGGAGUUUAGAAAUGUAUCAAGGUGAGUGGGAGGGUGAGAGUUUAGAGAAGGUUGAGGGUGAGCAUGGUAGUUUAAAGAAGGUUGAGGGUGAGUGGGAGGGUGGGAGUUUGGAGAAGGUUGAGCAUAAGUGGGAGGGUGGGAAUGUCACAGACUCUGGAACCAGACACACUGACAGAACACAGACACAG